UUCCGAAAACCAACCGCGUGAGGGAGGAGGCCUUAGGGUUGUAACCUCUUUUCUCUGGGAAGAAUAACUGACCAUACACAGGAAUAAGCCUCGGCUAACUCCGUGCCAGCAGCCGCUUGUAAGACGGAGGAGGCAAGCGUUAUCCGGAAUUAUUGGGCGUAAAGCGUCCGCAGGCGGUUAUUUAAGUCUGUUGUCAAAGGUCACAGCUCAACUGUGGAUCGGCAAUGGAAACUGGAUGACUUGAGUGUGGUAGGGGUAGAGGGAAUUCCCGGUGUAGCGGUGAAAUGCGUAGAUAUCGGGAAGAACACCAGUGGCGAAGGCGCUCUACUGGGCCACAACUGACGCUGAGGGACGAAAGCUAGGGGAGCGAAAGGGAUUAGAUACCCCUGUAGUCCGCCC
Molecule: ribosomal RNA, 399 nt
Filed under: Phormidium sp. K15
Lineage: Bacteria; Bacillati; Cyanobacteriota; Cyanophyceae; Oscillatoriales; Oscillatoriaceae
Description: bacterial SSU rRNA
Rfam family: Bacterial small subunit ribosomal RNA
Source: RNAcentral